This 655-nucleotide long non-coding RNA is filed under the name Limulus polyphemus (Atlantic horseshoe crab). RNAcentral's name for it is "uncharacterized LOC106457432, transcript variant X1". Lineage: Eukaryota; Metazoa; Arthropoda; Merostomata; Xiphosura; Limulidae. The record is from RNAcentral.
UAUUGUUUUUUCGUGUUUUAAAGAUUAACUUGUUUACUUGAACCUCGAUACAUUAGUUUCAAUUCAGCUAAUACUAGAUAUAGGUAAUACAGCUGUUCCGAGAGAGGUUGAAAACUUGUUAAGAAAACACGGCUUGUACACUUCUCAAGCACAAACUACAUUAAGAAAAGUACUAGUAAAUUCAAAUGUUAAAAAAUUUCCAGGGAACAUCCUUCAACAGCUGAUUGAGAUUUUCAAGCUAGCUGGGAAACUACCUGAAAGUGAAACGCUUCUUGAAUUCUUGUCUGCUCCUCUUUCUGCGUCCUAGUGCAUUCAUUAUGCAUUGUAAGGUCAAACAGCUGUCCCAAAAGAGGUUGAAAACUUGUUAAGAAAACACGGCUUGUACACUCUUCAAGCAAAAAAUGCAUUACAAAAAGCACUAGUAAAUUCAAAUAUUGGAGCCUUUCCAGGGAAUAUUCUUCAACAACUUAUUGCGAUUUUCAAGCUAGCUGAAAAACUACCUGAAAGUGAAACGCUUCUUGAAUUCUUGUCUGCUCCUCUUUCUUCUCCUUAGGGAAUUCGUUGUGCAUUUUCUGUGUUUCCUAGUUAGGUCGAAACAUAUAUCCAAACUUGUAAAACAAAAGAGAAAUAUUGAAUAAACAUGUUAGCACAUAGA